RNAcentral lists this transfer RNA (76 nucleotides) under Clostridia bacterium. RNAcentral describes it as "tRNA-Thr". It matches the Rfam family "tRNA". From Rfam's summary of the family: Transfer RNA (tRNA) molecules are approximately 80 nucleotides in length. Their secondary structure includes four short double-helical elements and three loops (D, anti-codon, and T loops). Lineage: Bacteria; Bacillati; Bacillota; Clostridia. The record is from RNAcentral.
GCUGCUAUGGCUCAGUAGGUAGAGCACGACCUUGGUAAGGACGAGGUCACCGGUUCAAGUCCGGUUAGCAGCUCCA